AACGAACGCUGGCGGCAGGCUUAACACAUGCUAGUCGAACGCCCCGCAAGGGGAGUGGCAGACGGGUGAGUAACGCGUGGGAAUCUACCGUACCCUACGGAACAACAGUUGGAAACGACUGCUAAUACCGUAUACGCCCUACGGGGGAAAGAUUUAUCGGGGUAUGAUGAGCCCGCGUUGGAUUAGCUAGUUGGUGGGGUAAAGGCCUACCAAGGCGACGAUCCAUAGCUGGUCUGAGAGGAUGAUCAGCCACAUUGGGACUGAGACACGGCCCAAACUCCUACGGGAGGCAGCAGUGGGGAAUAUUGGACAAUGGGCGCAAGCCUGAUCCAGCCAUGCCGCGUGAGUGAUGAAGGUCUUAGGAUUGUAAAGCUCUUUCACCGAUGAAGAUAAUGACGGUACCCGGAGAAGAAGCCCCGGCUAACUUCGUGCCAGCAGCCGCCGUAA
This 447-nucleotide ribosomal RNA is filed under the name uncultured bacterium. RNAcentral's name for it is "partial 16S ribosomal RNA". It matches the Rfam family "Bacterial small subunit ribosomal RNA", at positions 29 to 523 of the family's 1533-position model. The record is from RNAcentral.